AUGUAUAGCAAUAGCUACUUGCAUCAUUGUAAAUAUGAUGCAAGAUCGACUAUGUCGAAUAAAAUUCUAGGUAGAAUUAUGAUAAUGACAUUGUCUGCCUAUGUGUCUUGACCAAAUUACGUGCCAGCAGUCGCGGUAAUACGUAGAAGACUAGUGUUAUUCAUGUUUAAUCGGUUUAAAGGGUACCUAGACGGUAAAUCAAGCCUAAAAGGAAAUAAAUGAAGGGACUAAUUUACUAGAGUUACUUCUGAGGGGGUAUUAAAGUACUGCUGGUGUAGAGAUGAAAUUCUGUCAUACCUCUUUUCAAUAGAAAAAUAAUGGCACAGGUAUAGGCGAAAGCAUCCCCUUAUGUGAUAACUGACGUUGAGGGACGAAGGCUUUGUGUAGCGAACAGGAUUAGAUACCCCAGUAGUCAAAGCAGAAAAUGAUGAAUGUCAUAGAUUAGAUAUAUAAGUUUAUUCUAUAAAUGAAAGUGUAAGCAUUCCACCUCAAGAGUAAUUUGGCAACAUUGGAACUGAAAUCAUUAGACCGUUUCUGAAACCAGUAGUGAAGUAUGUUGUUUAAUUUGAUGAUCCGCAAAAAACCUUACCACAAUUUGAAUAUUUAUAUCUUUUAUUGUUUUUCUUUUUAACUUUCUUCUGAAUUUCUACUUAAAAGAAAACAAUAACAAGAAAAAAGAGACAAUAAGAUAUAUUUACAAGCGUUGCACGGCUGUCUUCAGUUAAUGUCGCGAGACUCUGGUUAGUUCCAUUAAAUUAACGUAAACCCUUACUUUAUUUUUAUAUAGAGUAGUUCCCCGCUAUAU
RNAcentral lists this ribosomal RNA (805 nucleotides) under Nephromopsis leucostigma. RNAcentral describes it as "SSU rRNA". It matches the Rfam family "Bacterial small subunit ribosomal RNA", at positions 359 to 1161 of the family's 1533-position model. The record is from RNAcentral. Lineage: Eukaryota; Fungi; Ascomycota; Lecanoromycetes; Lecanorales; Parmeliaceae.